UGCUAAGCGUAUACGGGCGCACGACGGAUGCCUUGGCAUCAGGAGGCGAUGAAGGACGCGGAAGACUGCGAUAAGCUUCGGGGAGCUGUCAACAAG
Molecule: ribosomal RNA, 96 nt
Filed under: Kiritimatiellia bacterium
Lineage: Bacteria; Pseudomonadati; Kiritimatiellota; Kiritimatiellia
Description: Kiritimatiellae bacterium (gut metagenome) partial 23S ribosomal RNA
Rfam family: Bacterial large subunit ribosomal RNA
Source: RNAcentral